RNAcentral lists this ribosomal RNA (503 nucleotides) under uncultured bacterium. RNAcentral's name for it is "bacterial SSU rRNA". It matches the Rfam family "Bacterial small subunit ribosomal RNA", at positions 27 to 507 of the family's 1533-position model. The record is from RNAcentral.
GAACGAACGCUGGCGGCGUGACCUAACACAUGCAAGUCGUGCGAGAAGUCCUUCGGGAGCGAGUAAAGCGGCGCACGGGUGAGUAACACGUAGGUAACCUGCCCCCCCAGUCUGGAACAACUAGAGGAAACUCUAGCUAAUGCCGGAUGAGACCACGAUCCCUUCGGGGGUUGCGGCCAAAGAUGGCCUCUACUUGUAAGCUAUCGCUGAGGGAUGGGCCUGCGGGCCAUUAGCUUGUUGGUGAGGUAACGGCUCACCAAGGCUGUGAUGGCUAGCUGGUCUGAGAGGAUGACCAGCCACACUGGGACUGAGACACGGCCCAGACUCCUACGGGAGGCAGCAGUGGGGAAUUUUGGACAAUGGGGGCAACCCUGAUCCAGCCAUGCCGCGUGAGUGAAGAAGGCCUUCGGGUUGUAAAGCUCUUUCAGACGGAAAGAAAACGCCCCUCCUAAUACGGGGGGUGGAUGACGGUACUGUCAGAAGAAGCACCGGCUAACUACGUG